UCCUGCCUUGAAAGGAGCCUAAACAAGCCUCUACCUAUUUAACUUAUUCUGGGUAUACUGGUUAUUCAUAUAUCAAACUAGCAUUUCCAGAGGCUUUCUAGGAGUCAUUCCUAUCUAGUCAGUAUUGCAUGGAUACUUAACACACCACGCUGACAUAGCUACAUUUCUUGCAACUGGGUGGACAACAAUCUACGCAAAGGAGAUUUUUAAAGAAGUUAACACAGAAGAGGAUAUUUCUUAUCAUUAAUGUGAUUUAGAAGUUGACUAUCCCAGCCAAUCUAUGGAGCAAAAUUCUUCCAUAUGGCUAAUUUUUAAGCUCCACAUUUUAGAAGAGUAGCUGCAAAGAUGGUGAUAUAUGGAUCCUAUAUGACAAGUAACAAGAAGACAGUCUACUGAUCCUCUCAAGUUGAAAUUUUGUCUAUGUUUUAUUUAUGAUGGAACAGGAACAAAAAAUGGCAGCAUUGGACAGAGAAAAGAAAACUC
Corapipo altera (White-ruffed manakin) is the source of this 483-nucleotide long non-coding RNA. RefSeq lists it as uncharacterized. The transcript is spliced from 4 exons. NCBI's taxonomy places the organism in Eukaryota, Metazoa, Chordata, Aves, Passeriformes, Pipridae. The record is from RefSeq and is a predicted model, not a curated record.